This 492-nucleotide ribosomal RNA is filed under the name uncultured bacterium. RNAcentral describes it as "partial 16S ribosomal RNA". It matches the Rfam family "Bacterial small subunit ribosomal RNA", at positions 28 to 507 of the family's 1533-position model. The record is from RNAcentral.
GAUGAACGCUCGCUACAGGCUUAACACAUGCAAGUCGAGGGGAAACGACAUCGGAAGCUUGCUUUUGAUGGGCGUCGACCGGCGCACGGGUGAGCAACGCGUAUCCAACCUGCCCAUCACUUGGGAAUAACCUUGCGAAAGUAAGACUAAUACCCAAUGACAUCCCACGAAGACAUCUGAAUGGGAUUAAAGAUUUAUCGGUGAUGGAUGGGGAUGCGUCUGAUUAGCUUGUUGGCGGGGUAACGGCCCACCAAGGCAACGAUCAGUAGGGGUUCUGAGAGGAAGGUCCCCCACAUUGGAACUGAGACACGGUCCAAACUCCUACGGGAGGCAGCAGUGAGGAAUAGUGGUCAAUGGGCGAGAGCCUGAACCAGCCAAGUGGCGUGCAGGAGGACGGCCCUAUGGGUUGUAAACUGCUUUUAUAAGGGAAUAAAGUGGGUCUCGUGAGACUUUUUGCAUGUACCUUAUGAAUAAGGACCGGCUAAUUCCGUG